Molecule: ribosomal RNA, 231 nt
Filed under: uncultured bacterium
Lineage: Bacteria
Description: partial 16S ribosomal RNA
Rfam family: Bacterial small subunit ribosomal RNA
Source: RNAcentral
CGGGUGCGUAACGCGUAUGCAAUCUACCUUUUACAGAGGGAUAGCCCAGAGAAAUUUGGAUUAAUACCUCAUAGUAUAAUUGAAUGGCAUCAUUUAAUUAUUAAAGUCACAACGGUAAAAGAUGAGCAUGCGUCCCAUUAGCUAGUUGGUAAGGUAACGGCUUACCAAGGCUACGAUGGGUAGGGGUCCUGAGAGGGAGAUCCCCCACACUGGUACUGAGACACGGACCAG